UUACCGAGGUCUUGACAUCCCGAUGCUAUUUCUAGAGAUAGAAAGUUACUUCGGUACAUCGGUGACAGGUGGUGCAUGGUUGUCGUCAGCUCGUGUCGUGAGAUGUUGGGUUAAGUCCCGCAACGAGCGCAACCCCUAUUGUUAGUUGCCAUCAUUCAGUUGGGCACUCUAGCGAGACUGCCGGUAAUAAACCGGAGGAAGGUGGGGAUGACGUCAAAUCAUCAUGCCCCUUAUGACCUGGGCUACACACGUGCUACAAUGGUUGGUACAACGAGUUGCGAGUCGGUGACGGCGAGCUAAUCUCUUAAAGCCAAUCUCAGUUCGGAUUGUAGGCUGCAACUCGCCUACAUGAAGUCGGAAUCGCUAGUAAUCGCGGAUCAGCACGCCGCGGUGAAUACGUUCCCGGGCCUU
RNAcentral lists this ribosomal RNA (411 nucleotides) under uncultured Streptococcus sp. RNAcentral's name for it is "bacterial SSU rRNA". It matches the Rfam family "Bacterial small subunit ribosomal RNA", at positions 971 to 1382 of the family's 1533-position model. The record is from RNAcentral. Lineage: Bacteria; Bacillati; Bacillota; Bacilli; Lactobacillales; Streptococcaceae.